UAAAUACUUAAAAACCCAUCAUUUUCUUGUUUGUUUGUUUGAUAGUACGGUAACAACCAUGGGUAACACACAGUUUUUAAUUUAGAUCGUUCCCAUGUCAUUCAUAUCUGAUCUGACAAAUGUUUGUGUCGAUGCCGAUAUGAUCCUUGGAUUGGUGCAUCUCUACUAACUAUUCAGACAAACCUCCAAAUCAGCUGAUGAAAUGGUACACUACCAUCCUGAAUGCUGCCUCUUUGCUUUCCAGAGGCAGUGGUUUGAGACCAAUACACCAAGAAAUACUUUAAGUUAAUGAGUUUUGUACUUUUUUUUUUUUUUUUGGGAAGUACAGGCUUUUUUAAGGGGUACUUGUUACAGUGUGUUGUAAUUUAUGAGCUAUGAGAUUUCAGCUGCAUGGGCAGAGUCCUUGAAACAUACCACUGCCCAUUGCAGUAACCAUCAGUGUUCAUCAUACAUAUACGUGUGUGUGUGUGUGUGUGUGUGUGUGUGUUGCCCUCCAUAAGUAUUGGAACAGUAAUGACAAAUUUGAUUUGUCUGCUGUGGAGUCAAGACAUCUGCAAAUAUGCCUAAAAGAUGAAUAUGAGACAAAGCAUCAGAAUGUCACAUUUUAUUAUUGGCCAUUUCAACAUUCAUCUUUUACAAAAUAAAAAGGACAGCACUUUUAGAGUUUCA
Long non-coding RNA from Carassius carassius (crucian carp), 669 nucleotides. RefSeq lists it as uncharacterized. Lineage: Eukaryota; Metazoa; Chordata; Actinopteri; Cypriniformes; Cyprinidae. The record is from RefSeq and is a predicted model, not a curated record. The transcript is spliced from 2 exons.